Molecule: long non-coding RNA, 303 nt
Organism: Xenia sp. Carnegie-2017
Lineage: Eukaryota; Metazoa; Cnidaria; Anthozoa; Malacalcyonacea; Xeniidae
Exons: 3
Source: RefSeq, a predicted model, not a curated record
CGAAAUCUCUAAAACGUUAUCAGGGGGAGGAUGUCUCUAUGGGUAUUUGGUUAUCAGCUAUUGCUCCUGAAAUUUAUAAGGAUGAGCGAUGGUCGUGUUUCGGGGAUUGUCAGAUGGAAAUGUUUACCUUGCCCGAGCAGGAUGCCGAUUCUCUUCUCUAUUUAUGGGAAAACUUUAUGUCCUGCGGUAAUCCUUGCAAAUGUUGAGAAUACGUUAGUUAUGUCGGGGAGAUAAGAAAAAUUCCAAAUCCACACAAAAAGAUAGAAAAGUACAGCUUCAAUUAAACUUUUUAUCUUUUUUUUU